CUAGAACGGGUUUUAUGGAUUGACACCCAACUGGUGUAACAUUUCUCAGCUGUACUGUUUGCUCCAAGGACUUUAAGCUGCUUUUUAGGUUUUCAGAACAAGAUUGUGCCAGCUUCAGGAAAUGGUUUUUGAAUUUCUCCAUAUUUGUUACAGACAACUUAAAUGCUAUGCAGCUGGUUUGAGCCUUAUCUUCUUGGUGAUUUUUGGAAGGUAAAUCAUUUGGGCUCAUGAGGAACAGAGGAGCCAAACCACUAUUGAGAAGAUUGCUGUUCACCAUUUUGACAACCACACAAGCCACAGAUGAUACUCUCAGAACUUAGAGACCAAGAAAGUCAAAGAAGAAAGGGACUGAAGAAUGUCAAGGAAAUGACCUAGCACUACAAGCCAUAAAGUAAUGACAGUUUCAAGGGGAAGAAUAGAGAGAAAGAGGAAUCAUGUGGAGAGGAAGAAGGUGGGGAGUUAAGGAGAGAAUUUGGUUAUAGCCAACAGGAAUAGAUCUGACAACUGAAAUUCUUAUGGGUAAAGGCAUUGUGGACAAAUACAAACUCACACACAAUGGGUUCCAAAAUAAUUUAUUUCUGCCCUGCAUUAGAAGAUGGGUGUCUGCUCAACCUAGAUGAGGCUCAACAAUAUCUCAGAGGGAAUCCAUAUGUCAUCAUUUCUGGCCAGUGACCUCUGAGUGGAAGUCUGAGAAGAAGUUUCUGGGAAGAAGAGUCCUGUUAUGUCCUCACUCUGUUGUUUCCUGUGAAGGAUACUGGUGGGCAGAAGGGAAGACUAGAUUGAGGCAUCCAUCUUGACAUCAUGAGAUAAAGACCAUCAAAAUUCCAGAAGUACCUAAACAAAUGCUGGAAGCAAUCAACCAAUGAUGAGACCACCUCCCGCCAAGGGAGAGGAGAAGGCAGCCAUCCGCACAAUGUUAACUGAGGUAUAUGUUGAGAAGAUCACCUGAAAUGAAAUAUGAAUCUCAUUGAAG
Molecule: long non-coding RNA, 973 nt
Filed under: Homo sapiens (human)
Lineage: Eukaryota; Metazoa; Chordata; Mammalia; Primates; Hominidae
Description: HSALNT0383616
Source: RNAcentral